AGUAAAAAUUUAAAAUGUGUGUAUAUACAUAGAAUUAGUUAUCUGAGAAAUUUUGUUAAUGAUAUUUAAUUCAAAUGUCUGCUUCUACAGUGUUUUAUGUAAGAAAAACGUUUCUGCAGCAAAUCUGUUUCAUAGAAGAUACAUAUUUUCCACUCUUGCAGCUCUCUUUUGCCGCGUCAUCAUUCGUUACACCACUAACGCUGAUUUUCUUCUUGUAUAUGUGCAUGCUGGCACGCCUAUGGAAGAGCACGCCCGGCUGUAAGCCAUCGGCAGAAUCAAGAUGAAAAGUUAUUGCGGAGACGGUGACAUCUCACAAGGAGGAAAGUGUUAGAGGAAUAAAUCAAUUGGUCAAGUGACCCGAAUAAAUACACAAGAAAUGGCUAAUAAAGUGUGAAAAAUUGGCAAAAAUUACGAAAAGGUAAAGCACGGAGAAAUUUCCAGCUGAAAAAAGGCUCGCCUUAGAUUUGCAAUAAGUAUAAUAUAUCGGCUAUGGAAGCGAAAAUUAAAUACGCAUGUACCAUGCAUAGAAUAUGUAACAUCAAAACCAAACUUCUUCAGGAAGUAAAAAGACCCAAUCGCAGUCAUGCCACAGAUGUUUUUAGACUGCUCCAGUAUCAUGUAUAAUAGCACUGAAUAAUGCAAAUCAAUUUAGGGCAUUGUGACAACAUCGUAUGUCAAGGUCAACCAAGGUCACCAACGUGAAUAGUUGAAGUCAUUCAUUCUUUCCAGCCAACUGAAGACUGAUUUGACUCGUGAUACUGAUACGACUGAUAAAACUUGAUAAAAACUUAUUAAAUGUGAAAAUAAUAUAUAGCAGCUUUUAUUACUAUUAUGUUUAUAGCCAUUGAGAAAUUAGGAUUAUUUUUUAAGCUUAGUAUUAACUAAGUUCGGUUUAUAUUAUCAUAUCAAAAUCAAUCUGUACUACAAAUUCAGAGGAGUUCUUCACCGACAAACAGCUACUAGGACUUAAGGAAUGUUUCCAGAACCCUCGGCGUUAUUCCAGCACCGCCAAAGCAGCCUCGUGUUUUAUAUUUGGACGAUGCUACAGCGAAUUGAAAACCGUUAUAUUCAUUAUUUUUUAAAGAAAUUUAUUUCAGUUGAUUUCAGUUGAACGCACAAGUUACUAGAACUGAAAAUUUAGCAAGCCAAUGCUGCACACAUAUACUUUUUACUCACGUCUGUCCAAUGUAGAGUAAUUCCCAACACUUUCAUUUUAUUUAUCUUAUUCACACGUAUCACUACUCUUUGUUCUAAUAAAUUCUAUGCCUAAAGAGGUUUAUUUUGAGUCCGCCGGAAUCCAAGAGCAUUACAGCUUUCAGGCUUACAAUAUUUAUUACGGAUAUUUUAUAUUUAUACAACUGAAGCAAGCAUAUAAUAAAGCGAAAAGGAAAAAAAAUUAAUAUAAUAUAUGGAAAAAAAUAUUCUAAAGGAUUACUAAAUUCAAUUCACUGUUUAAUAAACACCUUGACGUAAUCCACAUACAUACACGUAUAUUUAAAUGACAUGGCUUCUUAACAGUAGACUUUGACAUUAUAUUAAGUAGCGAAUUACCACACCUCAUAUCGUACUGUACUACAUAUAUAAUUCGGUUUCAUAUAGAAACUAUAAUUCCACAAAACCAAAUCUCAGAUCAAAGCAACAAAAACCAAUUUUGAAUUUGACCACCUGAGGUGUAACUAACUUACGUCUAAUCAAUGUGAGGUAGUAUGCAUUUUCAUAGAUGUUGUUGCUUCGAAGUCAGAUGUGUCAAAUUCGAAAUCACCUGCCAUUAAAAUGCACAAUUGCACACCAACUAUAUUGCACUGCAGUCGUUGACUUAAGAUUUCAUUCAUUUAGUCGUGUAUAAUCAUAUAUUCACCUACGUACUAUAUAUCUCAAAAUACUAAUUUGAGUUCAACAAUAUUUGGUGUGAUUUAUUAACAAUAUCUGUCAAAAUAUGAUGUGCUUGUCACAGAAACUGUGUUUUCAAUCCAAUUUUGGAACUAACGCUGUAGCCUGGUUAGUUAUUAUGAUGAUUGUGAUUCAGACCGAAUUGACUUUCCUAGUUGGUUUACGAUUUAUUGCUGUAGUUAUUAAUUGGCUUUGUUGGAACUGAACAGGUGACUUGAUUGUCUGACACAUGCAACUACUACUGAUUACUAAACUUUUUCUAAAUCAGUAAAUCAUCACCGUCCAAUAUUCCCAUGAAUGCAUUCAGCUUUAAAUUAUACAAAUGAGCAAUGAAAGCGGUACGCAAAUGUUGCUCAUACGCCAGAGCGAGCAAUAUUCAUUGAAAAUCGCAAGUCCCUUAGGACGCACCUUCAUUACAAAUACUUCGAAUUUUCACGUGGAUUAUGCAGACGGAUUUGAUUUUUAAUCAGGCAAUUGAAAAAGGCCUUUCUUGAAAGAAUGAUAGAUUUAAUGUUAAUAAUAAUAAAAGAUUUAAUUAAUAUAUUCCGGAUGUUUGUGGAGAAAAGGGAAUAUUAUUUCAUUUAUGUAAAAUUAUACUCACUAACUAACACCGCGGAAAAAUAAAAGAUCAUAUACGGAUAUGUGUACGAAUGUCCAAUUAAGAGAAUGUUAAAAAUAAAGUACAUAGUACACUCGAGCUUAAAAUUCGAAAACUAUUAAUUAGUUGGUGAGGUUUUUUGUAUGAACUGUUCUAGUGGAUUAUAUUCACCAUAUACAUUUUUGAAAUGAUAAUUUUAUAUGCAAAGAUGGAGUUGCUCGCUUAUUAAACCACUAUUUAUUCUAACAUAAUUCAAUUUCACUGUCAAAUUAAUUGAACUAAAUUUGAUAUUUUAAUAUUUUGGUUAACAAAUUGUGGUCCUAAGCAAAUAUUCCAAAUUUGUUUUAUGAUUCGCAGCUAAAAUAAUUUUCUAAAAUCCCAUGGAGGCAAACAUUCCGCCUGAUACGAAUUGAACAUUAAAGCAAAUCAAUAUUUGAACAACUAUAAAGCACAUGUACAUACCUUGAUAUCAGUCUGUAUGCCCACAAAUAUACAUAUUUACAAAAGGGUACAAAUGCACACCGGAAAAUGUAAUUAGAAAGGUAUUAGAUCUUACUUGUAAAUAGGCAACUGCCUAAGGAUGUGUUUCGCAUGUGCGUCAAUAGAAUUAACAACUUUGUUGUUAGUGACACGAACGUACAUAGGGCUAUUUAACAAAUUUCUCUUUUUCACUUGGAGAGACUAAUAUUCUGAAAAUUUCCGAAAUCAGCAUUUAAAUUGACAAAUUAAAAAUACAUUUCAAAUUAUUUUAUAUUUGUAAAAAAAGUACACACAAAGCACAGAAACGAAGAUUCGUAAAAGUUCACAAACCUGGAUCUACCGUUUCUGUUAAAUUAUUUUCACAACUUUUUUUCUAAAAGUCAGCUGCAAAUAUGGAACAAUUGGCGGAAGCUGUUUGUUCGUUGAUACAGAUUAAACGAGUAAAAAUAAAUAUAUCAAAUGACAAAUGAAUGUACAUAUGUAUAUCCUGCUAAAAUAAAUAUAAAAAUUAUAUUAUAAAGCAUUUUUUUUAUUUUUCUAGUCAAGCAUUGAAGUUUUUGUCUUAUUUACAGAAUACACCUGAAGGAAUAAGUACAUUAGCUGUUUAAAUCUGGGCUAAAAAAACAUACUGCCUCAUAUCGUAGUCAUUUGUGGAUUAUAUGAUACAUAUUCUCUUUGUAUAAGUACAUAUGUAACAAAUAAAACAGGAAUCAGAAGACCUUGCAUAUAGGUUAAAGUGAAAUUGAUUGUGAUAUUUAUAUGAUACUAGUACAAACUUGAUAAGCGUGAAAUGACCCAAAAGUUAAACUUAUUAAAAUAAAAUUGAAAAACUCAA
Molecule: long non-coding RNA, 3803 nt
Filed under: Bactrocera tryoni
Lineage: Eukaryota; Metazoa; Arthropoda; Insecta; Diptera; Tephritidae
Description: uncharacterized LOC120773917
Source: RNAcentral